UGUGGCUCUCUUCACCCUCCUCCUCUUCCUCAAGUGCUUCCAUUGGCUGGCUGAAGACCGGGUGGACUUUAUGGAGAGAAGUCCCAACAUAUCUUGGCUCUUCCAUUUCCGCAUUGUCUCUCUCAUGGUCCUUCUGGCCAUCCUAGAUUUCCUGUUUGUCAGCCACGCUUACCACAGCAUCCUGACCCGGGGGGCUUCCGUCCAGCUGGUCUUUGGCUUUGAGGUGAGCAGAUACCUAUAAUAAUAAGA
Molecule: non-coding RNA, 249 nt
Organism: Thamnophis sirtalis
Lineage: Eukaryota; Metazoa; Chordata; Lepidosauria; Squamata; Natricidae
Source: RefSeq, a predicted model, not a curated record